AGGACGAACGCUGGCGGCGUGCUUAACACAUGCAAGUCACGGGGGUCCCGCAAGGGAUAACCGGCGAACGGGUGCGUAACACGUGAACAACCUGCCCUCGUGUGGGGGAUAGCCGGGCUAACGCCCGGGUAAUACCGCAUACGUUCUCUUUGGGGAGUCCCGAGGAGAGGAAAGCUCCGGCGCACGGGGGAGGGUUCGCGGCCUAUCAGCUAGUUGGCGGGUAAUGGCCCACGAAGGCGACGACGGGUAGC
This 251-nucleotide ribosomal RNA is filed under the name uncultured soil bacterium. RNAcentral describes it as "partial 16S ribosomal RNA". It matches the Rfam family "Bacterial small subunit ribosomal RNA", at positions 26 to 287 of the family's 1533-position model. The record is from RNAcentral.